This 619-nucleotide ribosomal RNA is filed under the name uncultured bacterium. Its description in RNAcentral is "bacterial SSU rRNA". It matches the Rfam family "Bacterial small subunit ribosomal RNA", at positions 338 to 951 of the family's 1533-position model. The record is from RNAcentral.
CCUACGGGAGGCAGCAGUGGGGAAUUUUGGACAAUGGGCGAAAGCCUGAUCCAGCAAUGCCGCGUGAGUGAAGAAGGCCUUCGGGUUGUAAAGCUCUUUUGUCAGGGAAGAAACGGUGAGAGCUAAUAUCUCUUGCUAAUGACGGUACCUGAAGAAUAAGCACCGGCUAACUACGUGCCAGCAGCCGCGGUAAUACGUAGGGUGCAAGCGUUAAUCGGAAUUACUGGGCGUAAAGCGUGCGCAGGCGGUUUUGUAAGUCUGAUGUGAAAUCCCCGGGCUCAACCUGGGAAUUGCAUUGGAGACUGCAAGGCUAGAAUCUGGCAGAGGGGGGUAGAAUUCCACGUGUAGCAGUGAAAUGCGUAGAUAUGUGGAGGAACACCGAUGGCGAAGGCAGCCCCCUGGGUCAAGAUUGACGCUCAUGCACGAAAGCGUGGGGAGCAAACAGGAUUAGAUACCCUGGUAGUCCACGCCCUAAACGAUGUCUACUAGUUGUCGGGUCUUAAUUGACUUGGUAACGCAGCUAACGCGUGAAGUAGACCGCCUGGGGAGUACGGUCGCAAGAUUAAAACUCAAAGGAAUUGACGGCUGAGACGNGCGAGGACGACGACGAGGGAGGAGG